GUGAAAUUGUUGAAAGGGAAGCGCUUGCAGCCAGACGUGCCCGUAGUUGCUCAUCUGGGGUUUUCCCCAGUGCACUCUUCUAUGGGCAGGCCAGCAUCAGUUCGGGCGGUUGGAGAAAGACCUGUGUCACGUAGCUCUCUUCGGGGAGUGUUAUAGGGCAGGUGGAAUGCAACCAGCCUGAACUGAGGUCCGCGCAUCUGCUAGGAUGCUGGCGUAAUGGCUGUAAGCGGCCCGUCUUGAAACACGGACCAAGGAGUCUAACAUCUAUGCGAGUGUUUGGGUGUCAAGCCCGAGCGCGUAAUGAAAGUGAACGGAGGUGGGAACCCCUCGGGGCGCACCAUCGACCGAUCCUGAUGUCUUCGGAUGGAUUUGAGUAAGAGCAUAGCUGUUGGGACCCGAAAGAUGGUGAACUAUGCCUGAAUAGGGUGAAGCCAGAGGAAACUCUGGUGGAGGCUCGCAGCGGUUCUGACGUGCAAAUCGAUCGUCAAAUUUGGGCAUAGGGGCGAAAGACUAAUCGAACUACCUAGUAGCUGGUUCCUGCCGAAGUUUCCCUCAGGAUAGCAGUAACGUUUUCAGUUUUAUGAGGUAAAGCGAAUGAUUAGAGGCCUGGGGGUUGAAACAACCUUCACCUAUUCUCAAACUUUAAAUAUGUAAGAAGUCCUUGUUUCUUAAUUGAACGUGGACAUUUGAAUGUAUCGUUACUAGUGGGCCAUUUUUGGUAAGCAGAACUGGCGAUGCGGGAUGAACCGAACGCGGGGUUAAGGUGCCA
RNAcentral lists this ribosomal RNA (769 nucleotides) under uncultured Ascomycota. RNAcentral describes it as "LSU rRNA". It matches the Rfam family "Eukaryotic large subunit ribosomal RNA", at positions 399 to 1190 of the family's 3401-position model. Lineage: Eukaryota; Fungi; Ascomycota. The record is from RNAcentral.